AACCUAGUCCUUGUGUAGGUAGGAAUAAUAUCUGCUAAUUACAAAGACCAAAAUGAUGUUAUAAAUAGUCCAGCGAUUCAAUGCAACCAUCAAGUUUGGGUUUUUAGGUGUUAGUUACAAGAGGAGUUUUAUCAAUGGCAUCAAUGAAAGCUGAAAGACCUGUUGGCUCUCAACUGUUUGGGUCACUCAAGAAAGAGCCUGCUAAGGCUACUCCAGGUACAAGUACAACCAAGGCUCCAUCAAGUUCCAAGUCAGCUCCUAAAAAGACCGAGACAAAGCCAAGGGAGCCCAAGAAGAAGGCAAAGGCCGGUGCGAAACCAGCAGCUGCCAAACCAUUAGCAAAGAAUUAACAGGAGGGAUGCAGACCUAUGACAGUGUCACAUGGUGGGUAUGUGGUUUCUCGUUUUUAUUACUACUAGUAUCUAUCUAUAUGUAAGUGGCUUGUUGUAAUCACUUUAUGAAAUAAGAAAUAAAGGGUUUGGUUCCUUAUAAGUGCA
This is a long non-coding RNA of Papaver somniferum (opium poppy), 497 nucleotides long. RefSeq lists it as uncharacterized. The record is from RefSeq and is a predicted model, not a curated record. NCBI's taxonomy places the organism in Eukaryota, Viridiplantae, Streptophyta, Magnoliopsida, Ranunculales, Papaveraceae. The transcript is spliced from 2 exons.